Octopus sinensis (East Asian common octopus) is the source of this 419-nucleotide long non-coding RNA. RefSeq lists it as uncharacterized. The transcript has 3 exons. NCBI's taxonomy places the organism in Eukaryota, Metazoa, Mollusca, Cephalopoda, Octopoda, Octopodidae. The record is from RefSeq and is a predicted model, not a curated record.
GUGUGCGCUUCCGAUUUCAGAGAUGGUGGCGUGCAUGGAAAGGUAAGCGUGCAACGCUACGUCCGGAGACAAUAAAAAGUUGUUAAGCAAAGCUGAUGACAACGGGUUCUGUGAACAAUGCAAGAAGUGGUCGUCCAACCACAUCCCGAUCAGUGGAGAAUGUGGCAACAAUACAAGAAAUAUUGAAUUGCAGCCCCCAGAAAUCAAUACCUCAUAAAUAGUUCGUAAAAGUGGACUAACAAGACACACAAUACGUACGGUGUUGCAUAAAGAAUUGAAUUUUCGUCUGUGGAAACCCCAUUACGUGCAGGAGCUAAAACCUGAAGGCUGUAACUGCAGAAGUCCAGAAGUCCAGAUCUCACUCCAUGUAAUUUUUACCUGUGGGGUUACAUAGUAGAUGAGGUGUACCAAACUAAACC